RNAcentral lists this transfer RNA (72 nucleotides) under Camelus bactrianus (Bactrian camel). It matches the Rfam family "tRNA". Rfam says of the family: Transfer RNA (tRNA) molecules are approximately 80 nucleotides in length. Their secondary structure includes four short double-helical elements and three loops (D, anti-codon, and T loops). The record is from Rfam by way of RNAcentral. RNAcentral also lists the same sequence under 2 other names. Lineage: Eukaryota; Metazoa; Chordata; Mammalia; Artiodactyla; Camelidae.
GAGGGUAUAGCUCAGUGGUAGAAUGUAUGCUUAGCAUGCAUGAGGCCCUGGGUUCAAGCCACAGGACCUCCA